Long non-coding RNA from Cyprinus carpio carpio, 844 nucleotides. Lineage: Eukaryota; Metazoa; Chordata; Actinopteri; Cypriniformes; Cyprinidae. The record is from Ensembl.
CUUUUUGUGAUGUUUUUAAAGGCAGGAAGUUAGGAAGAGAAACAUUAAAGGGCCUUCAGAGUUCAGAAAAAACACUCAAAGUCAGUCAAUGACAAACACAUCCAAAAAGGUAAUUUUGUCAAGUUUUAGAACAGAUACUAGCUUCAGUGCUAACAAACAUGCACUAAAGUCCACUAAACUCUAUUUUGGAUUCUUUUGGAUCUUUAAACUCAAACAUUUGACAUAAGUCAGAGCUGCUCUUAUACGAUUGCUGCUGUAAGUGGGCAAGCUCUCAGUGUGGAGUGGCUGCUCUCCAGAUGGAGGAGAGGGGUUUGGAUUGGAGGCCGAGCUGCGUGGGAUGUGAGAAAUGAGACGCUUCGGUACAUGUUGCUUGUUGAUAUCUCAGCAGCUUUAACUGAGUCAUGAUACUGAUGUGAUUACAUGGUGCGGAUGUUUCCUUGUUAAAAAGCUAAAAAGCUCAACUAAACACAACAGUUGUCCAAAGUGCUCUACAAAAAAGGACACUUGAUAAAAUAUGCUAUAAAAUAGUAUUUAUUUCUUGACCGAUUAGGAAAAAUAAAUUGUCAUUGUGUAGUAAGGCAAAUGAGAUAUAAAGCCAAUUUUCAAAUGUUUAUACAAUAAAAUCCAUAGAUGAUGAAUUUGUUUUUCAUUUUCAAUUUGGGUUUUUAAGUACCUUUUUCUUAAUAUUUAUGUAUUUAUUUAGUCCCCUUAUUAUUUGCAAUUGUAAAUAAGUCAGUUUAAAGCAGUAUUGCAUUAUUUAUUGCACAAUUUAGCAUGAUUGAGCAAAACCUGAGCAUUUCUAAACAAUCAUGUUAGAAAUUUUCACUACUGUUCAAAAGUUUGG